RNAcentral lists this long non-coding RNA (287 nucleotides) under Sus scrofa (pig). Its description in RNAcentral is "lncRNA (ENSSSCG00040051885.1)". The record is from RNAcentral. Lineage: Eukaryota; Metazoa; Chordata; Mammalia; Artiodactyla; Suidae.
AAGGGCUUCAGCAGGAUGGUUUGCUGGGGGAGAAUGGAGACAAGCAACACCAACAGCUCCCUGUGGCCGGAGGCUAAAUUCAGAUCAAUGACUAUGAGCAGAAGCGGUGCAGGCAAUUCCAGGUCCUAACAUUCCAAAGAAAGCUGGUGAACCAGAGGCAAGUGCAACCUGCCUGUUCCAGAGAUAGGAGGCGUGUGUCCAUGUUGGCAGAACCUCUGUCCACCCCCGACUGACCCUCUGGACUGUACGGAGAGAGAAAUAAGCUUUAUUCUUAUCUCUUAUUUGAA